This is a non-coding RNA of Camellia sinensis, 1434 nucleotides long. The record is from RefSeq and is a predicted model, not a curated record. Lineage: Eukaryota; Viridiplantae; Streptophyta; Magnoliopsida; Ericales; Theaceae.
CACACACUCCACUUCCUAACGGAUAAGGAAAAUUAUGCCUGAUCGGACCAGAAAUUAUUAUAAAUAGGGAAAUAUCAAAAAAAUAAUAAGAAGAAUUAUUUAAAAUUUUAAUUACAAACUCAUAAACAUAUUAAUGAUUUAAGCACUAAAUUAUGCAAAUGGGUGAUAUACUUUUAUGAAUUUGUAAUUAUUUUUCUACUUCUCAUUUUUUUUAUUUUUUCCCUUAUACAUAAGGGUUUAUUUAUUUAUUUAUUUUAAAAGUCACUUCCAUUUAAAAGUUCAAGCACAAAAUUUUUUUAAAAAAUUGAAAUGAGUUUGGAUCAUUUACCCAUCUUAGGAGUAUAAAUUAGAGGAUCAAGUGAUACUUCCUUAAUUAUAUGAUGUAACACAGAUAAGAGUCAAAUAUGAGUAGAACAUGUGAAAAGUAAACUUAUUAUCUACGCUACUCUCAGAAUAAAAGUAGAUGCACCAAUUAUUUAUUUUUUGUUUUUAAUAGUGAGGAACUAUGUCUUUGUUUUUUAGCCCAUCAUAGAAGCGUAAUCUCAAGAAUCAAGCAACACUUCUUAAAAGAUGCUGCUUUCUUGAAAUUUUUGACAUUUUAACUUUCUAAUUAUUAUUUUUGACUUUUUUUAUUAAAAUAAUUACUUGCCAAACGACUCUUAAGUUUGUUACGAAGUUGUUUGUUAUGUCAAUUUAUUUUGGUAAAAUAUAUAUAUAUAUAUAUAUAUAUUUGUUAGGUUAUUGUUGUAUGUUAUUUGUUUUGAUAUUCUUUUUUUUCAAAAAAAAAAAAUUAACAAGGUAAAACUUUAAUAGAUUGAUCGGUUCAGUUCCAAAAAAAACCCCACUCAAACUUAAUCUUAGUGUAAUUUAUUGAGUUCAAAUUGGGCUUAUUAGAGAGUUUUCAAAAAAAACUAUGUAUUCAAAAAUAUAUAUUUCAAAAAAAUAUCUAAAAUUUGAAUAUAUGAUGUAACUUUAAAUUUGAUAUGGUGACAGUCACAUUCAAAAUGAAUUUGAUCGACAUAGCAUAAGAGAGAAGAGAAUGUCUAGCAUGAGAGAGAAGUGCUUGCAGGGAAGAAGAGAAGGCCUAGCAUGAGAGACAAGUGCCUAUCAGUUAGCCAAGGAGAUUACCUCAAACCGAACAAGGAGGUUCCAAUGUAUAGGAAAAUGCCCAUCACAGAAUUGAAUACAAAAUAUAUAUAAACAAAUAAGAUUUUCUAAAACUAGACCCUAUUAACAAACCUUAUAAAAUCUUAUCCAUUCAUGUUAUGAGAUCCAUUUCCUUAUUGGUAAGAGAACUAAAUAUAUAAACAUAUGGUGUGCUUCAACACCCCUUUGAUGGAGGAGGCAAGUCAUCCUUGGCUACCAAACAGGACUCUUAUCUUCAUGGACACAAUAUGCAUCUAGUUCAUGUCAUAAACAUGGAGUUAUCUAAUG